Lethenteron reissneri (Far Eastern brook lamprey) is the source of this 643-nucleotide long non-coding RNA. RefSeq lists it as uncharacterized. Lineage: Eukaryota; Metazoa; Chordata; Hyperoartia; Petromyzontiformes; Petromyzontidae. The record is from RefSeq and is a predicted model, not a curated record.
UCGCUGUCGCCCUGCAUUUGGCGUCGCGCUGCGCAGAAGCAAGCGGGUCGCUAUAAUAGCGCUGCGGCGCAACCUGCGCCGUUUCCAGCAGCAGCUGCAGAAGCGGCAGCAGAUGGGGCGAGCAUAGGUGCAGCAUCCACGAGCCUGUCGAAACAAAGAAUACGAACACAAUUUCCCAGACCUGUUGAAGAUAAAGACAAAGAUACCCCAUAUAGCCUUUAACGGACUGUUGGGACGAGUGCAGUUCGUGAACACUUCAUGAAGGCUGGAAUGGCACACGAGGGGGAGCAGAAGACCACAGUGGUUCACUUACACCACGGCUGGGGAACGUCCGGCCCGCGAAAUCAUUUGGUGUGGCCCUACCAAGGCAACCGCAGGCGGGACUCGAAAUUCAAUAAAUCUCGGAGCAAACCUGGAAAAGCAUCUGCAAGUAGCAGCAACAUCAUCAACACCAGCCUACAUCACACGGCCUCGCCAAAGAGAAGCAGUUCCAGCCAUCACAUUAGGGAUGCUUGAACACUGCUGGAGAUUUGAAACAUACAUCACCCCUUCCGGAUCACAUCAGCAGCCUCACUCUACGCCACAAAUACAAAUGAAGGCGAGAGACGGAAGCAAGUCUGGACUGCGGCCGGCAUAACAUCUC